This 435-nucleotide ribosomal RNA is filed under the name Triticum aestivum (bread wheat). RNAcentral describes it as "partial small subunit ribosomal RNA". The record is from RNAcentral. Lineage: Eukaryota; Viridiplantae; Streptophyta; Magnoliopsida; Poales; Poaceae.
AUGGACGAGCUCGACGGAGACGCUGUCCAGCCCGACCACGGCCACGACUACCUCACACACAAAUCACGCCUGCCGGAGUGGCUAUUACUUUGCUGCAGCAGAGUUUGCAACGGAUGCUUGCUUCCUGAGGUGAGUGACCACCUAUGCAUCGUGACGGCAGUGGAUGAUGGCAUCACCUACAAAACCCCAAUGUUGAGCUCUCUCCCUACUCGCUCUGAGCCAUACCCGUCAAGACAAGUUGCUCUUCUUCGUCUUGGACCAGAACCCCGGCGGCUGGAUAAGAGCAUAGGAGCAAGCAGAGCAGAUGGUUUAGCCGGCCUCCUCCUCUCUCUCCCUUCCCUUGCUUUCACUCGCUUUUGGCACCCUCACCGCCAUUGGUCGCAUACCCAGGUUCAUCUCUCCCCUUCUUUGCCCCUGUGUCUCUUAUUUAUUUAA